This is a long non-coding RNA of Oncorhynchus keta (chum salmon), 331 nucleotides long. RefSeq lists it as uncharacterized. The record is from RefSeq and is a predicted model, not a curated record. NCBI's taxonomy places the organism in Eukaryota, Metazoa, Chordata, Actinopteri, Salmoniformes, Salmonidae. The transcript has 3 exons.
GUUAUUAAUGUUGUUGUCCUCAGGGAGAGAAGACCUCAGGCUUUAUGAGUCUAAUGUGUAAUUACUGGUCAGGUUAUUAAUGUUGUUGUCCUCAGGGAGAGAAGACCUCAGGCUUUAUGAGUCUAAUGUGUAAUUACUGGUCAGGUUAUUAAUGUUGUUGUCCUCAGGGAGAGAAGACCUCAGCCUUUAUGAGUCUAAUGUGUAAUUACUGGUCAGGUUAUUACUGUUGUUGUUUCCUUCUGAAUCAUCCUUUCUAUAUUUUAUUUCAACAGAUCAGUCUGGGAGUAACAGAGUUGAAAUGAUGGAGAUGCAACCUUUACUGGGUCCUGGA